Long non-coding RNA from Cydia splendana, 525 nucleotides. RefSeq lists it as uncharacterized. Lineage: Eukaryota; Metazoa; Arthropoda; Insecta; Lepidoptera; Tortricidae. The record is from RefSeq and is a predicted model, not a curated record. The transcript has 2 exons.
CGAGUCGGACUCGCCCAUGAAGGGUUCCGUAGCAGCAAGUAACAUAAUAAAAUUGCGGUUUACGAUUUAUGACGUAUUAAAAAAAAACUACUUACUAGAUCUCGUUCAAACCAAUUUUCGAUGGAAGUUUGCAUGGUAAUGUACAUCAUAUAUUUUUUUUGUUUUAUCAUUCUCUUAGUUUAGAAGUUACAGGGGGGGAGGGACAUACAUUUUACCACUUUGGAAGUGUCUCUCGCGCAAACUAUUCAGCUUAGGGAAAAAUGAUAUUAGAGACCUCAAUAUCAUUUUUGAAGACCUAUCCUAUGGAUUCUAAGUAUGGGGAACCCCAAAAUUUAUUGUUUAUUUUUUAUUUUUGUGUGAAAAUCUUAAUGCGGUUCACAGAAUACAUCUACUUACCAAGUUUCAACGUAUAGUUCUUAUAGUUUCGGAAAAAAGUGGCUGUGACAUACACGGACAGACAGACAGACAUGACGAAUCCAUAAGGGUUCCGUUUUUUGCCAUUUGGCUACGGAACCCUAAAAACGG